UUGGAGAAAUUCAGUGGCUGUAGUUAACGCAAUAAGUACUCCGCCUGAGUAGUACGUACGCAAGUAUGAAACUCAAAGGAAUUGACGGGACCCCGCACAAGCGGUGGAUCAUGUUGUUUAAUUCGAUGAUACGCGAAGAACCUUACCAGGUCUUGACAUCCCUUGCAAAGCUCUAGAGAUAGAGUGGAGGUUAUCAAGGAGACAGGUGGUGCAUGGUUGUCGUCAGCUCGUGUCGUGAGAUGUUGGGUUAAGUCCCGCAACGAGCGCAACCCUUAUUGCUAGUUACCAUCAUUAAGUUGGGGACUCUAGCGAGACUGCCAGUGAUAAACUGGAGGAAGGUGGGGAUGACGUCAAAUCAUCAUGCCCCUUAUGACCUGGGCUACAAACGUGAUACAAUGGCUGAAACAAAGGGCAGCGAAGCAGUGAUGUGGAGCGAAACCCAAAAAAGCAGUCUCAGUUCGGAUUGAAGUCUGCAACUCGACUUCAUGAAGUCGGAAUCGCUAGUAAUCGCGGAUACAGAACGCCGCGGUGAAUA
RNAcentral lists this ribosomal RNA (535 nucleotides) under uncultured Mollicutes bacterium. RNAcentral's name for it is "bacterial SSU rRNA". It matches the Rfam family "Bacterial small subunit ribosomal RNA", at positions 829 to 1368 of the family's 1533-position model. Lineage: Bacteria; Bacillati; Mycoplasmatota; Mollicutes. The record is from RNAcentral.